UGGGAGCUCUCCCAUAUGGUCGACCUGCAGGCGGCCGCGAAUUCACUAGUGAUUAGAGUUUGAUCAUGGCUCAGAACGAACGCUGGCGGCAUGCCUAACACAUGCAAGUCGAACGAACCCUUCGGGGUUAGUGGCGCACGGGUGCGUAACGCGUGGGAAUCUGCCCUUUGCUUCGGAAUAACAGUUAGAAAUGACUGCUAAUACCGGAUGAUGUCUUCGGACCAAAGAUUUAUCGGCAAAGGAUGAGCCCGCGUAGGAUUAGGUAGUUGGUGGGGUAAAGGCCUACCAAGCCGACGAUCCUUAGCUGGUCUGAGAGGAUGAUCAGCCACACUGGGACUGAGACACGGCCCAGACUCCUACGGGAGGCAGCAGUGGGGAAUAUUGGACAAUGGGCGAAAGCCUGAUCCAGCAAUGCCGCGUGAGUGAUGAAGGCCUUCGGGUCGUAAGCUCUUUUACCAGGGAUGAUAAUGACAGUACCUGGAGAAUAAGCUCGGGCUAACUCGUGCCAGCAGCCGCGGUAAAAUCGAAUUCCCGCGGCCGCCAUGGCGGCCGGAGCAUGCGAC
Molecule: ribosomal RNA, 563 nt
Filed under: uncultured Alphaproteobacteria bacterium
Lineage: Bacteria; Pseudomonadati; Pseudomonadota; Alphaproteobacteria
Description: bacterial SSU rRNA
Rfam family: Bacterial small subunit ribosomal RNA
Source: RNAcentral